CUUCAGGGACCUGGGAAAUGGUAAACCACAUGUGAUGUCCAUUUCCUGCCCUCUAACCUGGCCGGGCAGCAAGGAGGUUCCAGUCUCUUCCAACACAAACCUGCACCUUCCCCACCCCACCUCCUCUGCUCAGCUCUGGCUCACAGGGAUGUCAGCGGGGAGGGGGGGGGGGGGGAUACACACAGUAGGGCCUUGAAGGGUGUACACAGUUUGAAUAAAUGAUCCUACAGGCCUGGGGAGUCUCUCAGCCCCCUCCCCCAUUUCCUCUGGGAAAGGAAUGUGGGGUGGAUCCCAGAGGGUGGUGGGGGAUGGGGCCAAGGGCUGGGAAAUACCAGG
RNAcentral lists this long non-coding RNA (336 nucleotides) under Lynx pardinus (Iberian lynx). Lineage: Eukaryota; Metazoa; Chordata; Mammalia; Carnivora; Felidae. The record is from RNAcentral.